GAAGCUGCGAACGGCUCAUUACAACAGAGGUAACCUGCUCUCGGUAAAAAACGUACAACUAUGCUAAUUGUGUGGCUAAUACGUGAAAUCAAUCUGCGGGUUGCUCCGAUUACUUAUCAGCUCCUAACUUGAUUGUUUGCUGGGUGCUUAGACAUUUUGUCUUCCGAGAAUGGGUCUCUGAUCUAUCAGUUGUUGACGGUUGUGUUUUGGAUAACCGUGGCGUUGACGGAUAACGGGGAAUUAGGGUUCGAUUCCGGAGAGAACGCAUGAGACACGGCGUUCACGGCUAAGGUUGGCAGCAGGAGCGCAAACUUUUCGAAUAGACGAUGUCUGAAAAGGUGACUAUCCGUAUCGACAACUGCCAGUGGUGGUUGGUCGGAAUGAGAGACGUUCAGAUGUCGUUUCGAGCAGCAAGUUCAGGGCAAGUCUGGUGCCAGCAGCCGCGGUAAUACCAGCUGAGCUAGAAAUGGGUAACAUUGUUGCAGUAAAAACGUACGUAGUCACUUUUGUUGCUGUAUGCACGUUUCAGAACGUGUUAUGCUCAACCUCUUGUGCUCUGUUUAGGGUGCGAGCUCCGCGAGUAAACUAGAAUGAUUAACUUGAAUGUUUGGAUAUGACAGCGUGGGAAAUCUGAUGAUGCCGAGGAUUUGUUGCUCAAUUUGCUUAACCUUCGGGAUAUACUGUAAGAAUGAAUGAGGGCAUCAGUACUUAGUAGCUAGAGGUGAAAUUCCUAGAUUUGCUAAUGACUAACGACUGCGAAAGCAUUUGUCUAAUUCAUUUUUGGUGAUCAAGUACUAAAGAGUGGGGAUCGAAGAGGAUUAGAUACCCUCGUAGUCCACUCCCUAAACCAUGCCGACUAGAGGUUGGUGUAUCGUCAUGGAACUUCAUCAGAGCCUUAGCAGAUAUGAAAGUCUUUGGGCUCUGGGGGGAGUACGGUCGCAAGGUCGAAACUUAAAGGAAUUGACGGAACGGCACCACCAGGGGUGGAGCGUGCGGCUUAAUUUGACUCAACGCGGGAAACCUUACUAGGGUAAGACACUGGUAUGAUGAUUGACAGAUUACUUGAUCUUUCUUGAUUUGGUGGGUGGUGGUGCAUGGCCGAUCUUAGUUGGUGGGGUGACCCGUCUGGUUAAUUUCGAUAACGAACGAGAUCCGAGCUGUCUAGUUGGCGAUUUCUCCCAAUGUGAGGUUUCAGUCUCCUAUAUGGACUGUCAGUUAGAGGCUGAAGGAGGUUUCGGGCUAAAUCAGGUCUGUGAUGCCCUUAGACACUCUAGGCGGCACGCGCGCUACAAUGGGUGGAAUAUUGUGUUACUUCUCUCGUGAGAAGAGGGUGAAUCAAGAAUUCCGACCCGUGAAUGGGAUAGUUUAUUGCAAUUUUCGGACUUGAACUAGGAAUCCCUUGUAAGUACUCUCAAGAAUAGUGUGCUGAAUACGUCCCUGCCCUUUGUACACACCGCCC
Molecule: ribosomal RNA, 1459 nt
Filed under: uncultured eukaryote
Lineage: Eukaryota
Description: SSU rRNA
Rfam family: Eukaryotic small subunit ribosomal RNA
Source: RNAcentral